Molecule: long non-coding RNA, 533 nt
Filed under: Mytilus galloprovincialis (Mediterranean mussel)
Lineage: Eukaryota; Metazoa; Mollusca; Bivalvia; Mytilida; Mytilidae
Source: RNAcentral
UGUGAAUUUUAUAUAUAAUAAACUAAAUGUUCAAAAGUUCCGUGCGACACUUGGUUGUAUAUUAUUUCUCGUAAUUUUGGAGUUUUACACUUCUACAAAUCUGCAAUCUACUGUGUGAUAUCGAAAAAAAAAUAAAAGUAUUUAGCGUUCCGUGACGCUAAAAUCUGAAAGCAAGUGUUACGAAUAUUCGCCGUGGAUAUAAAUCUAGCAUUCACAUAGUAGACGUGCCAACCUUUGCAUGAUCCUUAGAAAUAAAGUACAUAAUGAUAGACCAGUCCUAGUCACAGUGAUUUUUUUUAAUUUUAGUUACUGAAGCCCCAAGUCUGAUCUUCGACGGUUUUACAAACACGUUUUAAUGCUAUUAGAAAAUGCUAUUCCAUUAUAUUCCCUGAACUCUCUGCAUCUAACUGUUAUGUAUUUUUUUUCCCGGUUACCAACCUUUCCCCCUGAAAUACCUGGGUUUUUUUUCUUUAAAACAUAUCAUAUAAAAAAAAAACAUGUACAUAUAUACAUGUCAUAUGCAUAUAAUUACA